ACCCACAUAAAGUGGGUAUGCCACUUUAAGAGAAGAGGUUAAGGAAGCUGGGUGGUCUGCCUGGCCAAUGAGAAGUUUGGUUUCCAGAGCGUCUGGACCAAUCAGGGUGCAGGCUGCCGUUGUGGAUCCCGCCCUUCUCCCCCGGGUCUGCAGUACCGUUGGCUUUGCUCUAGAGAUCCGACGCGGUGAGACUGCUGAGCGGGGCAGCGCCAGAAGCCGUUAGGAAUCGUUGGCUCUUUCUGGCAGUUAUUUCAGCUUGUUCUUCGUAGAUAAAAGUGCCCCACGCAUCCGGAUUGAGACCCACUAUACGGUUGUCUGAAGUGUGUCGCACUGAGAUCGGUGAGCAUAUUCGGAGCCUUUUAUUUGUGUUUUUGUCGUUUGUUACAUUGUUGUUAAAAAAAUAUCCGUUGUUUUAGUAACUAGGUAAUGUUUUGUUACUGUGUUGGAAAGAAGGAUUAAAGCUAGAACGGCUUGGUAAAGUCCUGUAUUUCUGCUGGUCCUGUCUGUUGACAGGUCAGGUUUUUUUUUAUACUGGAUCAUUCCUGAAGUGGAUCCCUCCUUUGAUAUUGAUGGCGAGCCUUCCCACCUGGACCUAAAGAGAGAACCAGAUUUCGUCUAUCCCAUUUGGAGUCAUGCUGCACCCUGCGGUGUGGUAGGAGAGCAACAUACAUCUUCACACACGGUUAUGUGUGAAACCUACAACUGACAUUCUCCAUUAUUAUUGUUUUUUAUUUAUUGAUUUUUGGACAAUACUGUUUGGAUUGUUUUAUUUCGGACAUUGUGACGCACAGCUGUGGUGGAAAUUCUCCUGUGAAUGAAGUUGAAUCAAACCAAAUUGGGAUUAAUUUGAUUAAUCUGCUGACUAAUACAAUUUGGAGUGCAGAUUACCAGGGUGCACCCGAAUUAUUUGAAAUUAAGAAUUAGCACUUGGCCAAGUAUUAUUGUUAUUUCUUUUUUUUUUUCAUUUUAUUGUGUGUAAUUUUAUUUUCAUAAUUGUGUGUUUUGUGCAACUGUUAAUUGUGUGUUUUCUGUCACUAAAACCAGUUCUUUAAAUACACCCAACUGCCCUUGUGUGUCAUUUAAACACUCCACUGUGCUCCGAUAGCCGAACCUAUUGGCCCAUUUAUCCAAAAUAUAUGUAAUACCCUUCUCUACUGUGUU
Molecule: long non-coding RNA, 1161 nt
Organism: Xiphophorus hellerii (green swordtail)
Lineage: Eukaryota; Metazoa; Chordata; Actinopteri; Cyprinodontiformes; Poeciliidae
Exons: 3
Source: RefSeq, a predicted model, not a curated record